GUCUUAAAAUGGGGGGCUGGAAAUGGGAUCACACAGGCUUCAUGAACAAAACCAAUGGUGUCUACGAUCCCAGUUUUACAUCACCAACACUGCAACCGAGUAACUUGAAGGUCAGACUCACGCCGCCACCACGCUUCGGAAGAGGAUCCACCCACGGCUGCCCCAGAGAGAGGAGCUGAGGCCACACAGGUCUGGUGGCUACCCCUUGUCUGAGACCCUGAGGGCGGCAGCCUUCUCUCCCCAACAGCUGAGGUGACAAGCCAAAUAAACGGCUUCUGUCGGUGGCUCUCCGGAACGAGGACACAAGCAGAUGGAGCCCUCGAAGCUGAGCCUCCGUCUCUUCCUCUCAGCCUCCCUCAUCCAGCCGUGGCUGCUCAGAGUUCGGGUCAACACGCAAUCGCCUGUAACUAUACUUUGCUCAGCCCAAACUGUUUCCCUUUUCCUUUGCACACGUUCCGGGCACUAAGAGGUGGGCUCCGUGUAGCAGAGAGAACCUGGAGCCUUUUCAACGAAAGGCAGACACCUGCUUGGGGACCAGGUUCAAGCCUAGGACCCUAUCACACCCAGAGGGCCGUUUACAACGGCUGCCAGCUCUCAACACCCCCCCCCAAGGGCCCUUGGCUUGGAACCCGAGAUACUGUUUAGUGACGAAAAGCAAGGCCCAACAGGUCCCAGGGCUGCUUAGCCCGAGCAUGCUAGCACUGGAACCCUCUUCGUGGGAAGGGAGUGAGGAGAGCAGGGGCUUAAAGCCAGUGGACACGCCAGUGGUUCCUUCACUGUGUCUACAUCUGUGUGGCCCUUGCCCUACACGCCCAGCAGGAACAACUUCAUCUGUGCCUAAGCCUUUACAAUUGUUUUUAUUUUUACUGUAAGUUCUGUUACUUGAAGAUUAAAAAAAUUCCUAUGCCUCUA
Mesocricetus auratus (golden hamster) is the source of this 912-nucleotide long non-coding RNA. RefSeq lists it as uncharacterized. The transcript has 2 exons. The record is from RefSeq and is a predicted model, not a curated record. Lineage: Eukaryota; Metazoa; Chordata; Mammalia; Rodentia; Cricetidae.